Molecule: long non-coding RNA, 334 nt
Filed under: Phoenix dactylifera (date palm)
Lineage: Eukaryota; Viridiplantae; Streptophyta; Magnoliopsida; Arecales; Arecaceae
Description: long non-coding RNA (PDAC_LNC012306)
Source: RNAcentral
CCCACACAGCAGGAGUCUGCCCCUUUCUGAACCCCAAACCCACAAGGCCGCCAGCCCUUUGAGCCCAAGCCCAAUCGGCUGCAGGUCCUAUUUCAGACCCGAUCCAGCACCUCUUUUCAGCCCAGUACAGAAGUCCGAGAGCCCUUGUGCUACAGAUCCAGGCCCAUCGCUCCAGCUAGCUCCACCCGACGCAAAUUUCGUGUUCGAGAAUCUACAACGGACGCUUCCGGUCGACUGCAUCCGCCACAGGUAAUAGGUUCUCCUUUCUUCUGGACUUGUUUAUCUAAUUAUGUUCUAGUUCUCUUGCAUGACAGUCCUAUUUUGAAACUUAUUU